CAUGUGGUUCAACCACCUCAAUUA
This 24-nucleotide transfer RNA is filed under the name Triops longicaudatus. Its description in RNAcentral is "partial tRNA-Ile". RNAcentral also lists the same sequence under 1 other name. The record is from RNAcentral. Lineage: Eukaryota; Metazoa; Arthropoda; Branchiopoda; Notostraca; Triopsidae.